GACGAACGCUGGCGGCGUGCUUAACACAUGCAAGUCGAACGGAAAGGCCCUGCUUUUGUGGGGUGCUCGAGUGGCGAACGGGUGAGUAACACGUGAGUAACCUUCCCUUGACUUUGGGAUAACUUCAGGAAACUGGGGCUAAUACCGGAUAGGAGCUCCUGCUGCAUGGUGGGGGUUGGAAAGUUUCGGCGGUUGGGGAUGGACUCGCGGCUUAUCAGCUUGUUGGUUGGGUAGUUGCUUACCAAGGCUUUGAAGGGUAGCCGGCCUGAGAGGGUGACCGGCCACAUUGGGACUGAGAUACGGCGCAGACUCGUACGGGAGGCAGCAGUGGGGAAUAUUGCACAAUGGGCGCAAGCGUGAUGCAGAAACGCCGCGUGCGGGAUGACGGCCUUCGGGUUGUAAACCGCUUUCGCCUGAGACGAAGCGUGAGUGACGGUAAUGGGUAAAGAAGCACCGGCUAACUACGUG
Molecule: ribosomal RNA, 468 nt
Filed under: uncultured bacterium
Lineage: Bacteria
Description: partial 16S ribosomal RNA
Rfam family: Bacterial small subunit ribosomal RNA
Source: RNAcentral